GGAGAGGUGGUCGAGUUGGUUUAAGGCACCGGUCUUGAAAACCGGCGUGGGGGUAACUCCACCGUGGGUUCGAAUCCCACCCUCUCCGCCA
Molecule: transfer RNA, 91 nt
Filed under: Caloramator proteoclasticus DSM 10124
Lineage: Bacteria; Bacillati; Bacillota; Clostridia; Eubacteriales; Clostridiaceae
Also listed under: 2 other names
Description: tRNA_Ser_TGA
Rfam family: tRNA
About the family: Transfer RNA (tRNA) molecules are approximately 80 nucleotides in length. Their secondary structure includes four short double-helical elements and three loops (D, anti-codon, and T loops).
Source: RNAcentral